This is a non-coding RNA of Phrynosoma platyrhinos (Desert horned lizard), 72 nucleotides long. NCBI's taxonomy places the organism in Eukaryota, Metazoa, Chordata, Lepidosauria, Squamata, Phrynosomatidae. The record is from the annotation of a GenBank genome assembly.
GUCAGCAUGGCGUAGUGGUUUGAGUAUUGGACUACAACUCUGGAGCUCAGGAUUCAAUUCCCAGCUCAGACA